GAUGAACGCUAGCGAUAGGCUUAACACAUGCAAGUCGAGGGGCAGCAUUAUUUUAGCUUGCUAAGAUAGAUGGCGACCGGCGCACGGUGCGUAACGCGUAUGCAACCUGCCUGUAAUUAGGGAAUAACCCGGUGAAAGUCGGACUAAUACCCUAUAUUCUUCUUUCUCCGCAUGGGGAAGGACGGAAAGAUUUAUUGAUUACAGAUGGGCAUGCGUCCCAUUAGCUUGUUGGUAAGGUAACGGCUUACCAAGGCAACGAUGGGUAGGGGGACUGAGAGGUUGACCCCCCACACUGGUACUGAGACACGGACCAGACUCCUACGGGAGGCAGCAGUGAGGAAUAUUGGUCAAUGGGCGAGAGCCUGAACCAGCCAAGUCGCGUGAAGGACGACGGUUCUAUGGAUUUGUAAAACUUCUUUUGUAGAGGAAUAAAUGGCAAGCUACGUGUAA
This 450-nucleotide ribosomal RNA is filed under the name Porphyromonas endodontalis. RNAcentral's name for it is "bacterial SSU rRNA". It matches the Rfam family "Bacterial small subunit ribosomal RNA", at positions 28 to 469 of the family's 1533-position model. The record is from RNAcentral. Lineage: Bacteria; Pseudomonadati; Bacteroidota; Bacteroidia; Bacteroidales; Porphyromonadaceae.